This 260-nucleotide long non-coding RNA is filed under the name Salvia miltiorrhiza (redroot sage). Its description in RNAcentral is "long non-coding RNA (SMIL_LNC004408)". Lineage: Eukaryota; Viridiplantae; Streptophyta; Magnoliopsida; Lamiales; Lamiaceae. The record is from RNAcentral.
GAUUAAAUAAAAUCUUAUGUGGAAGAGGAACGGCGAAGAUGGAGGUUAAGGCAGCGACGACUAUGGAGCUAUCAACGAACCAAACAACGUUCUACCGAAACUAUCAAUAAAGCAACAACAAUGAGAAUACAAUUAUUAUUCAGUCCAUUAUAUUUUGCUACAACAACAACGACAAUCCCGAGCCAUGGGUGCAAGGUUGACUUAUCUAAUCGGAGAAAGGCGGGGUAGGGCUUCGUCGACGGUGGUAGACGAGGCGAGAG